RNAcentral lists this small RNA (738 nucleotides) under Pongo abelii (Sumatran orangutan). Its description in RNAcentral is "retained intron". The record is from RNAcentral. Lineage: Eukaryota; Metazoa; Chordata; Mammalia; Primates; Hominidae.
GUCACAAGCUCAAGUACAGCUUCAUCCAAUUCAGAAAGUCUGUCUGCAUCUUCUAAAGCUCUGUUUCCUAGCACAGCACAAGCUCAGGCAGCUGUCCAAGGACCUGUUGGUACAGAUUUCAAACCCUUAAAUAGUACCCCUGCAACAAGUACAGAACCCCCAAAGCCUACAUUCCCUGCUUAUACACAGUCUACAGCUUCAACAACUAGUACAACAAAUAGUACUGCAGCUAAACCAGCGGCUUCAAUAACAAGUAAGCCUGCUACACUUACAACAACUAGUGCAACCAGUAAGUUGAUCCAUCCAGAUGAGGAUAUAUCCCUGGUAAGUUGCUUUUAGUUUUCUACGAGCAGCAUUUGAUUUAAAGCCAUUAUAGCAGUUCGUCCCUUUAAAAUAAGUGUUAUUUUGUACUCAGGUGGUCUGUGAUCUGGUUUAAUGCUUACUAAGUGGUUUUUGCCAUUCUGAUUCUUAAGAAAUCAUAAAAUACUUAAAAGUGGACGGAUAUUUCAUGUUUUGGUCUUAGAUGCUUUCUCUCCCCUUCCUGCAGACUGUUUCUAAAAGAAGACAGUAAGUCAGGUUCUUAACUCUCUUAAAAAUCAUUUUAGUUAAACAUAAGUUUGCAAAUGUUAAUUGAAUAAACGUUAAGUGUGAAGUAGAAUCUGCAGAUCCCUUAAGUCCCAUAUAAAUGAAUUAAUUUUGAUACAAAGUUUAGAAUGUUGAUAAUGGCCAGGUGUGGUG